This 266-nucleotide long non-coding RNA is filed under the name Elaeis guineensis (African oil palm). RNAcentral describes it as "long non-coding RNA (EGUI_LNC000573)". Lineage: Eukaryota; Viridiplantae; Streptophyta; Magnoliopsida; Arecales; Arecaceae. The record is from RNAcentral.
ACGCUCAUAUUUAAGAACCAUGAUCCCUUGCAAUGCAUUGUAUACACCAUAAAGAGUUGUAAAAUCGUUCAAUAGCCAACAUUAGGAAAUAGAUGACCUUCCACAAUAAUAUAUUAUAUAUGGCAUGUUGAUAAUCAUCCAUUUCCUGAUAGUGGCAAUCGAGCGUAAUACAGUACUCUGCACUAUACUCUGCACUAUAUAUGGUGCACCAUACAUGAUUUGUACUUUUUAUUUAAACGAGUCUAGAUUCUUUAUUAUGUGAUAAA